AGUGACCCACUGUACUGUUCGUGUUACAUAGGGUAUACUACUUUGUGCUAGUACAUCUUGUAUGGUAUUGUUGAUUGUUCAAGCUUCUGAUGGUCCAUUGCAAGAAGUUUCACAGAAUCACUGGAGAGUUGUACUUAUUUCCUGCCCAAGAUCCCAGCUGUACCCAAGUUUAUAUAGUCUGGUUGUGAGCAGUUUUCUCUCACUCUUUGUCCUGCAUGAUACUAUUUAUUUUAAAUCUCUUUGUAAUUUUUUUCAAACAAAGACAUUAUAAGUAAUAUGUAUAGUAAUAGUAUAUAUAGUAUAUGCUAGUAAUAUAUGUAGUAAUAUGUGGCUGGUCACAUUUAAUUUUGAGUAGAUAGGAUAAUAGAUUAUCAGUCCUGCUGAAGAUCAAGAAAUAUUUACCAAGGACUUAUGAGAUUAGAUCUUCAAAUUUCAGAGUUUUAAAAGGAAACUUUCAAAUCGCCCACCCUUUCCUGGUAUUCUGGUUCUCAGUGCUAAUGUGAUCCUGCCCCAUGAGCUGCCCACAGUCUGAAUGUCCUCAUAUCGAAUAAUCUUUUUUACACUGUGAAGAUGUAUCUUUGCCAAGGUGCCUUCUGAUUGGCUUAAUAAAGAGCUAAAUGGCUCAGCGGGAGGUAUAGACCAGACUUCCAGGCACAGAGAGGACUCUGGGAAGAAGAGCCAGGCAGACAUGGAAGAAGAGCCAGGCAGACAUGGAACAAGUCGGACACACAGAAUGGAAUAGAGAUUUCUCUGGGGCAACAUUGAUGCCAGAUGACGAUGGAGCCAUGUCUACAGUCUCUGAAGAAAAGCACAGCCUUCGAGUGUUAACACCCAGUCACCCUGAACUUCUGCUGUAAAUGCAGCAUGCAGGCAUUUCUAGGCACGAAAAUAUUCAACGAAUACAACAUUCAUGUAUCAUUCUUGGAUGCAAUACAGAUGAUCAAUCUAGCCCAUAAAAAGGCAAACCAUUCUUCAAAUACAAAAGCUAAGUAAGGCUGCCUUAACAAGUGCAGAGAAUGCAUGAGACAUAACACUGAUGAGCACUCUUGAAAAUGCUACUCGUCUAAAAAACUCAGUGAGCCAAGAAAUGAAGGAAUAUAGAGGUCUCAAGUCUGAAGACAAAGUGCAAACUAUUGCAAAUCUGUUCGUUGCUGCAUUCUUGCAAGAGAAUACCGCGCAGCUGUGUUGGGGAAAGGAUCUUUCUGUGCACUGCAGGGCACCGCCUAUCAGCUUGGCAGCUUGGCUAAGUGACGUCACGCCCGAACCCUGGAGCCAGAGUACUUGGUUUCACCUCCUGGAUCCAUUAUUUGCUCUCCAAACUCUUAUUUCCCUCCUCUGUAAAGUCAAGAUGGUGAUAACACCUAUCCACGGAAGUUGUCACAAUUCAACACUGAGUGUUUGGGAAGCACUCAGCAGCAGUGUCCAGCACCACACAAUCUCUUUUAACGGCGCCCCUCUGUGACGUUCACUAUGAUGACAAACCUUCCACUGUUCAACUGCUAAGUAACUUGAAAAGAAUCACUGGGAAAACAAAACUACUAGAAAUAAUAUGACUUGGGUCAGUGACUGAAUAAAAGUAUUUUUAAAUUUUGA
Non-coding RNA from Peromyscus maniculatus bairdii (prairie deer mouse), 1593 nucleotides. Lineage: Eukaryota; Metazoa; Chordata; Mammalia; Rodentia; Cricetidae. The record is from RefSeq and is a predicted model, not a curated record.